GACGAACGCUGGCGGCGUGCCUAAUACAUGCAAGUCGAGCGAACAGACGAGGCUCUUGCUCCUCUGAUGUUUGCGGCGGACGGGUGUGAAACACGUGUAAACCCCAUCUUUAAUACUGGUAUAACUCGGGGAAACCGGCUCUAAUACGGGAUAAUAUAUUGAACCGCAUGGUUUAAUAGGGAAGGACGGUUUUGGUGUCACUUAUGGAUGCGUCCGUGCCGCAUUAGCUUGUUGGUAUGGUAACGGCUUACCAAGGCAACUAUGCGUAGCCGACCUGAGAGGGUGAUCGGCCGCACGGGAACUGAGACACGGUCCAGACGCCUAGGGGAGGCAGCAGUAGGGAAUCUUGCGCAAUGGGCGAAAGCCUGACGGAGCAACGCCGCGUGAGUGAUGAAGGUCUUCGGAUCGUAAAACUCUGUUAUUAGGGAGGAACAAAUGUGUAAGUAACUAUGCACGUCUUGACGGUACCUAAUCAGAAAGCCACGGCUAACUACGUG
Molecule: ribosomal RNA, 497 nt
Filed under: uncultured bacterium
Lineage: Bacteria
Description: partial 16S ribosomal RNA
Rfam family: Bacterial small subunit ribosomal RNA
Source: RNAcentral